RNAcentral lists this transfer RNA (83 nucleotides) under Bacteroidota bacterium. Its description in RNAcentral is "Bacteroidetes bacterium tRNA-Tyr". It matches the Rfam family "tRNA". From Rfam's summary of the family: Transfer RNA (tRNA) molecules are approximately 80 nucleotides in length. RNAcentral also lists the same sequence under 1 other name. The record is from RNAcentral. Lineage: Bacteria; Pseudomonadati; Bacteroidota.
GGGGAGAUACCAAAGUGGCCAACUGGGCCUGACUGUAAAUCAGGUGGCGUACGCCUUCGUAGGUUCGAAUCCUGCUCUCCCCA